This 1501-nucleotide ribosomal RNA is filed under the name metagenome. RNAcentral describes it as "bacterial SSU rRNA". It matches the Rfam family "Bacterial small subunit ribosomal RNA". The record is from RNAcentral.
AGAGUUUGAUCUUGGCUCAGAUUGAACGCUGGCGGUAUGCUUUACACAUGCAAGUCGAGCGGCAGCAUGGCAGUAGUAAUACUGCUGAUGGCGAGCGGCGGACGGGUGAGUAAUACAUCGAAACGUACCUUAUAAUGGGGGAUAACUAGCCGAAAGGUUAGCUAAUACCGCAUAAGCUCCGAGGAGGAAAGCUGGGGACUAGGAAACUGGCCUGGCGUUAUAAGAGCGGUCGAUGCUCGAUUAGCUUGUUGGUAGGGUAAAGGCCUACCAAGGCAAUGAUCGAUAGCUGUUCUGAGAGGAAGAUCAGCCACACUGGGACUGAGACACGGCCCAGACUCCUACGGGAGGCAGCAGUGGGGAAUUUUGGACAAUGGGGGAAACCCUGAUCCAGCAAUACCGCGUGAAUGAAGAAGGCCCUAGGGUUGUAAAGUUCUUUUGUCUAGGAGCAAAAGCUUUUUGUUAAUAGCAGAAAGUGAUGAGAGUACUAGAAGAAUAAGCACCGGCUAACUACGUGCCAGCAGCCGCGGUAAUACGUAGGGUGCAAGCGUUAAUCGGAAUUACUGGGCGUAAAGGGUGCGUAGGCGGAUAUGCAAGUUAGAUGUGAAAUACCUAAGCUCAACUUAGGAACUGCAUUUAAUACUGCAUGUCUAGAGUUUAUUAGAGGGGGGUAGAAUUCCAAGUGUAGUAGUGAAAUGCGUAGAUAUUUGGAGGAAUACCGAUGGCGAAGGCAGCCCCCUGGGAUAAAACUGACGCUGAUGCACGAAAGCGUGGGGAGCAAACAGGAUUAGAUACCCUGGUAGUCCACGCCCUAAACGAUGUCUACUUGCCGUCGGAAUCUUUAGAAUUCGGUGGUGGAGCUAACGUGUUAAGUAGACCGCCUGGGGAGUACGGUCGCAAGAUUAAAACUCAAAGGAAUUGACGGGGACCCGCACAAGCGGUGGAUGAUGCGGAUUAAUUCGAUGUUACACGAAAAACCUUACCUGCUCUUGACAUGUUAGGAACUUCGUAGAGAUAUGAAGGUGCCGCAAGGAACCUAAACACAGGUGCUGCAUGGCUGUCGUCAGCUCGUGUCGUGAGAUGUUGUCUUAAGUGACGCAACGAGCGCAACCCUUACUACUAGUUGCCAUAAUUAAGUUUGGAACUCUAGUGGGACUGCCAGCGUAAGCUGGAGGAAGGUGGGGAUGACGUCAAGUCCUCAUGGCCUUUAUGAGCAGGGCUUCACGCGUCAUACAAUGGUAGGUACAAACGGUCGCCAAACCGCAAGGUGGAGCUAAUCCGAGAAAACCUAUCUCAGUCCGGAUUGUAGUCUGCAACUCGACUACAUGAAGUCGGAAUCGCUAGUAAUCGCAGAUCAGCAUGUUGCGGUGAAUACGUUCUCGGGUCUUGUACACACCGCCCGUCACACCAUGGGAGUGGGGGAUACCAGAAGUUGUUAGGCUAACCGCAAGGAGGCCGAUUACCACGGUAUGUUUCAUGACUGGGGUGAAGUCGGAACAAGGUA